UUCCCCUAGUAACUGCGAGUGAAGCGGGAAAAGCUCAAAUUUAAAAUCUGGCGGUCUUUGGCCGUCCGAGUUGUAAUCUAGAGAAGUGCUAUCCGCGCUGGACCGUGUACAAGUCUCCUGGAAUGGAGCGUCAUAGAGGGUGAGAAUCCCGUCUUUGACACGGACUGCCAGGGCUUUGUGAUGUGCUCUCAAAGAGUCGAGUUGUUUGGGAAUGCAGCUCAAAAUGGGUGGUAAAUUCCAUCUAAAGCUAAAUAUUGGCGAGAGACCGAUAGCGAACAAGUACCGUGAGGGAAAGAUGAAAAGAACUUUGGAAAGAGAGUUAAACAGUACGUGAAAUUGCUGAAAGGGAAACGCUUGAAGUCAGUCGCGUUGGCCGGGGAUCAACCUUGCUUUUGCUGGGUGUACUUUCCGGUUGACGGGUCAGCAUCAAUUUUGACCGUUGGAUAAAGUCUGUGGGAAUGUGGCUUCUUCGGAAGUGUUAUAGCCCAUAGUCGCAUACAACGGUUGGGAUUGAGGAACUCAGCACGCCGCAAGGCCGGGUAUUUAUACCACGUUCGUGCUUAGGAUGCUGGCAUAAUGGCUUUAAUCGACCCGUCUUGAAACACGGACCAAGGAGUCUAACAUGCCUGCGAGUGUUUGGGUGGAAAACCCGAGCGCGUAAUGAAAGUGAAAGUUGAGAUCCCUGUCGUGGGGAGCAUCGACGCCCGGACCAGACCUUUUGUGACGGAUCCGCGGUAGAGCAUGUAUGUUGGGACCCGAAAGAUGGUGAACUAUGCCUGAAUAGGGUGAAGCCAGAGGAAACUCUGGUGGAGGCUCGUAGCGAUUCUGACGUGCAAAUCGAUCGUCAAAUUUGGGUAUAGGGGCGAAAGACUAAUCGAAC
RNAcentral lists this ribosomal RNA (880 nucleotides) under Psilocybe sp. RNAcentral's name for it is "LSU rRNA". It matches the Rfam family "Eukaryotic large subunit ribosomal RNA", at positions 75 to 940 of the family's 3401-position model. Lineage: Eukaryota; Fungi; Basidiomycota; Agaricomycetes; Agaricales; Agrocybaceae. The record is from RNAcentral.